GACGUAGGUGGCGACCGUUAUCCGGAAUUAUUGGGCGUAAAGGGUGCGUAGGUGGUCUGAUAAGUUAUCAGUGGCAAAUCGAGGCUCAACCUCGUGGAAACUGGUAAUACUGUCAGGCUUGAGUGCAGGAGAGGUUAACGGAACUCUAUGUGGAGCGGUAAAAUGCACAGAUAUAUAGAAGAACAUCAAUAACGGCGAAGGCAGUUAACUAUUCUGUUACUGACACUGAGGCACGAAAGCGUGGGGAGCAAAACGG
Molecule: ribosomal RNA, 256 nt
Filed under: uncultured bacterium
Lineage: Bacteria
Description: partial 16S ribosomal RNA
Rfam family: Bacterial small subunit ribosomal RNA
Source: RNAcentral